This 497-nucleotide ribosomal RNA is filed under the name uncultured bacterium. RNAcentral's name for it is "partial 16S ribosomal RNA". It matches the Rfam family "Bacterial small subunit ribosomal RNA", at positions 28 to 507 of the family's 1533-position model. The record is from RNAcentral.
GAUGAACGCUGGCGGCGUGCCUAAUACAUGCAAGUCGAGCGAACGGACGAGAAGCUUGCUUCUCUGAUGUUAGCGGCGGACGGGUGAGUAACACGUGGAUAACCUACCUAUAAGACUGGGAUAACUUCGGGAAACCGGAGCUAAUACCGGAUGAUAUUUUGAACCGCAUGGUUCAAAAGUGAAAGACGGUCUUGCUGUCACUUAUAGAUGGAUCCGCGCUGCAUUAGCGAGUUGGUAAGGUAACGGCUUACCAAGGCAACGAUGCAUAGCCGAGCUGAGAGGGUGAUCGGCCACACUGGAACUGAGACACGGUCCAGACUCCUACGGGAGGGAGCAGUAGGGAAUCUUCCGCAAUGGGCGAAAGCCUGACGGAGCAACGCCGCGUGAGUGAUGAAGGUCUUCGGAUCGUAAAACUCUGUUAUUAGGGAAGAACAUAUGUGUAAGUAACUGUGCACAUCUUGACGGUACCUAAUCAGAAAGCCACGGCUAACUACGUG